Drosophila busckii is the source of this 77-nucleotide microRNA precursor. It matches the Rfam family "mir-1 microRNA precursor family". From Rfam's summary of the family: This family represents the microRNA (miRNA) mir-1 family. miRNAs are transcribed as ~70nt precursors (modelled here) and subsequently processed by the Dicer enzyme to give a ~22nt product. In this case the mature sequence comes from the 3' arm of the precursor. The extents of the hairpin precursors are not generally known and are estimated based on hairpin prediction. The record is from Rfam. NCBI's taxonomy places the organism in Eukaryota, Metazoa, Arthropoda, Insecta, Diptera, Drosophilidae.
UUGAGAGUUCCAUGCUUCCUUGCAUUCAAUAGUAACUAUUUAAUCAUAUGGAAUGUAAAGAAGUAUGGAGCGAUAAA